RNAcentral lists this ribosomal RNA (442 nucleotides) under uncultured bacterium. RNAcentral's name for it is "partial 16S ribosomal RNA". It matches the Rfam family "Bacterial small subunit ribosomal RNA", at positions 338 to 795 of the family's 1533-position model. The record is from RNAcentral.
CCUACGGGUGGCUGCAGUGGGGAAUAUUGGGCAAUGGGCGAAAGCCUGACCCAGCAACGCCGCGUGAAGGAAGAAGGCUUUCGGGUUGUAAACUUCUUUUGACAGGGAAGAGCAGAAGACGGUACCUGUCGAAUAAGCCACGGCUAACUACGUGCCAGCAGCCGCGGUAAUACGUAGGUGGCAAGCGUUGUCCGGAUUUACUGGGUGUAAAGGGAGCGUAGACGGUUAUGCAAGUCUGAAGUGAAAGCCCAAGGCUCAACCAUGGGACUGCUUUGGAAACUGUAAAACUGGAGUGCAGGAGAGGUAAGCGGAAUUCCUAGUGUAGCGGUGAAAUGCGUAGAUAUUAGGAGGAACACCAGUGGCGAAGGCGGCUUACUGGACUGUAACUGACGUUGAGGCUCGAAGGCGUGGGGAGCAAACAGGAUUAGAUACCCCUGUAGUC